AUGACUCCGAGUCUCCUCGUGCUCCCCGAGCGGGCCCGUUGUGGAAGGGCCAGGAGCUGCCUGUGGCAGGCUGCAUGGUGCUGGGCGUGGGAUCCAGGCCCCAGCAGGAGCCCUUCUCCUUCUCCCCAUCUCUUUCUCGAUCUUUUGAUGCUGCUGGGGAAGCAGCAGCUGGAGCAGCAGCAGGAGCAGGAGCUGAUCGCCGAACUGGUUCACGUUCUUCUCCACGUUCUUCUCUCCUAUCAUCAGCACGCCGCCAUGAGCUUGCUGCAAGUACAAGAGACAAUAAAACAACCUUUGUCACAUUCAACCAGCAGCCUGCAAGAGUUUAAACAAACAAGCCUCACACUGACAGUCUGAUUUACUGAUUCUCAAUCUUGCCAAGAACUAAUAUGAAGAUGACAGCCAAAUGCACAGCUUAAUUUUAUAGUGAAGUAACGGCCCAGAACUACUCAAGCCUCUUUCCCGAUUCAGGAUUGCUGUGAGCAACCGAAGUGUCAUCUUUAAAACACUAACUGCAAUAAGAAUGUUCUAUUGAUGGACGUGGUUUUAUAAUGUAAAAAAUACAUCCUUAUAUUAUCAGAAUUAAAAGCACAAAAGCAUCUCCUUAGAAAUGACUGAAACCUGCAAACAGAAAAUUCCUGACUGAAAACAGUUGUGGAAAUCUGUAGGUGUCUCCGAAGACAGCACCUUGCUGUUCUGCCUACUGAAACCAGAGGUAGAUACGACACUGGAUUGAUUACACAACCCCACUGACAAUGGCCUUCAGCAUUCUUCACUACAUGAAGAAUUCUUCACUUCCACCAAAAGGAGUUUCAAAAUUCUAACCCAGCUACGUACGAACAAAGCUGUCAAAUACCAAACCAGACAUUCCAACAACGAAACAGUUCUUGAUAUAUUUUUUAAAUGAAGUAUCUUCUCCCUGAGAGCCCUCAGCCCUUCCGCCAGCUGGCAGCCCCGUACAUGUUGUGCUCCAGUUUGCUCUCUGAGAUCGGCUGCACGACAG
Molecule: long non-coding RNA, 1003 nt
Filed under: Anas platyrhynchos platyrhynchos (common mallard)
Lineage: Eukaryota; Metazoa; Chordata; Aves; Anseriformes; Anatidae
Description: lncRNA (ENSAPLG00000030614.1)
Source: RNAcentral